RNAcentral lists this ribosomal RNA (717 nucleotides) under Triticum aestivum (bread wheat). Its description in RNAcentral is "partial small subunit ribosomal RNA". The record is from RNAcentral. Lineage: Eukaryota; Viridiplantae; Streptophyta; Magnoliopsida; Poales; Poaceae.
AUGGCGUGCAUCGCUGCCCCUGCCACAUUUGCUUCCUCCUUUGCUCGUCUCUGUAGCAGGAUCCCGUUUGCGCCUCCCCUCAGCGCCACCUCCUUGUCGGCCUCCACCCCUCCCUUCCAUCCCAACCGCCUCAUGGUGAGGUGGGAGGUUCCUCUGAUGGGCUGGUUGAAGCUGAAUAUCGACGGAUCCGUUUACCACGACGGGUCCGGCCAGGUGAGAAUCGGCGGCACCAUCCACGACUACCACGGCCGCUUCCUCUUCGCCUUCGCUGAGCCGACGGAGCACUCGACGGUGGGAAUAUUGGAGGUGCGAGCACUGAAUCACGGGCUGUGGCUCACUAUGAGUUUCUUCUAUGGCGGGCUGGUGGUGGAAGGCGACGACCAGGUGCUGGUGGAGCUCCUUACCGGGAAGGAAAGGUAGACCCGCAUACCGAUAUCGAUGCAACAGGAGAUCCGCGCACUGCUUGAGCACUUCUCGACGUACCAGCUGCAGCACAUAUACCGGGAGGGAAACUAGGUCUCCCAAGUCAUGUGCAAACAAGCAUACCAGCGACCAGGGGUAUGGACAAGCGGGAUCGUGCCGCACGCCAUGUGGGAGAAGGCGCUAGAGGACAUGCAUGGUGUGGCACACAAGCGGAUCUGCAAGAAGAAGCUAUGGUGGGCUGGUGGCUUCCAAGAUGGGCGCGUACCAAGCCAAGCGCGAGCGGCGGCGUGGUGA